UAUCUAUCACUUAUGUGCAUAUCUCACCUAUAGAAAAUACCUAAUUUUACAAUCCAUACUAAGAAAAAUUGGGAAUGGUUUUAUAUACAAGAAAGGCAGUUUCGUAUUCUUUGAUAUCAAGUUCAAUUCUCCAUGCAGAAACGACCACUUUUUUUUCUGUGUCCAGUAGCAUCGUAUAGAUCUAUUCUUAAAAUAUUUUCUCGCAUAAUGCCUGGACAUCGGUGGACAUGCAACAUUACACAGUGUGACACGUUUACAAAUGAAAAUCAACACUCAGACUAGUCAUUAAGUAGGACAAUAAAUGAACAAAAGAAAAACCCGGGACACAGAAGUACAAACAAUAGACCAUCA
This 351-nucleotide long non-coding RNA is filed under the name Mytilus galloprovincialis (Mediterranean mussel). Lineage: Eukaryota; Metazoa; Mollusca; Bivalvia; Mytilida; Mytilidae. The record is from RNAcentral.